UCCUCGGUGCUCUCAAGUAGGUAUAGGC
This 28-nucleotide small RNA is filed under the name Bombyx mori (domestic silkworm). RNAcentral describes it as "ovarian small RNA-27823". The record is from RNAcentral. Lineage: Eukaryota; Metazoa; Arthropoda; Insecta; Lepidoptera; Bombycidae.